This 467-nucleotide ribosomal RNA is filed under the name uncultured bacterium. RNAcentral's name for it is "bacterial SSU rRNA". It matches the Rfam family "Bacterial small subunit ribosomal RNA", at positions 329 to 793 of the family's 1533-position model. The record is from RNAcentral.
CGCCAGACUCCUACGGGAGGCAGCAGUGAGGAAUAUUGGUCAAUGGGCUUACGCCUGAACCAGCCAAGUCGCGUGAGGGAAGACUGCCCUAUGGGUUGUAAACCUCUUUUGUCAGGGAGCAAUUGGCGCUACGUGUAGCGUUAUCGAGAGUACCUGAAGAAAAAGCAUCGGCUAACUCCGUGCCAGCAGCCGCGGUAAUACGGAGGAUGCGAGCGUUAUCCGGAUUUAUUGGGUUUAAAGGGCGCGUAGGCGGAAUGCCAAGUCAGCGGUAAAACCGCGGGGCUCAACCUCGCUCCGCCGUUGAAACUGGCGUCCUUGAGUGGGCGAGAAGUAUACGGAAUGCGUGGUGUAGCGGUGAAAUGCAUAGAUAUCACGCAGAACCCCGAUUGCGAAGGCAGCCUUCCGGCGCCCUACUGACGCUGAGGCACGAAAGUGCGGGGAUCGAGCAGGAUUAGAUACCCUAGUAU